GGUCAGAUUUGUACGUCAGAUUAUUUGAUAAUCGGUAGCAAGCCGAAUAUCCUUCGAUUAGCUGUAGCCAUGUCGGUAUAAUUCUAAUCCGACUUUGGUCAUUUUGGCAUUUCUGUUCCUCUUAGUUGGGACUAAGUCGGCAUAUUAGUAUUUCGACUAUAGUCAGCUUUUACAAUGGAGAGCCGACAUUGAGAACCGAUGUAUAAUCGAUAGUACGGCUUUUACUG
RNAcentral lists this long non-coding RNA (227 nucleotides) under Elaeis guineensis (African oil palm). RNAcentral's name for it is "long non-coding RNA (EGUI_LNC015324)". The record is from RNAcentral. Lineage: Eukaryota; Viridiplantae; Streptophyta; Magnoliopsida; Arecales; Arecaceae.